AACAAUUCACCACAAACAAUAAGUGUAUGAACAGACUUGCAUGCCUUAGUUAACAUUGAUAUCAGUAACAUUUAGUCAGAAUCAACAUAUUAAGAACCAAACAGUUAGUAUUCCAAUGUCUGUUUUUGAUAAACAAGCAUCAGACAGGUAACAAUUCACCACAAUCAAACUGAAUCAACAUUAAACUGAUCAAUUAAUUAUCAAAUAGAGAAAGGAAGAACUAGAUGGACAUACAUGUUGACGAAUCCGGGAAGAAGAUGGCGGCGAGCUUGGCCUUGGAGGUGUCGACGGCGCGGGUCAGAGGAGGUUGAGGACGGGAGUGGAUGCGGGUCUGGGAGCCGAGGGCGUGGACGGGAGGGGAUCGGAUGCGGGUCUGGGUGUCACAUCCCGACCCUUAUAUUUUUACCUUAUUUACUAGCGUGAUUAUAAUAAGAAUUUUACCGUCUCGAUCAUUGAGUAAAUAGUUUAAUUGGUCCCUAGAGGGGUUUCGGGGACGAUUAUGUGCGGAGGAUUAUUCGUAUGAGGAAAAUACGAUGACGGUAAAAAUAGUAAAUUUUAGCUAGUAAAAGGUAAUUUUUAUUCGGGUAUUAUUUUUCAGGGUGUUGAAUUUUGGAAUUAUGGGUUAAAAGGGGUGUUGGGUCGGCUGGGCCGAGCCCAACCCAUUUCUUCUUCUUUCUCUUCUCCCUCCCUCCCGAUUUUUCUUCUCCUCCCACCCGAUUUUCUUCUCUCUACACCCAGCAAACUUCCGGCCGUCCUCCCGCCGCCGUCCGACCUCCGUUUGCCGCCGGACCGGUCCCGUUCGGUCGGUCUCCCUCCCAGCUUCCAUUCUAGGCCGGUAGCAGCCCCCCUAGCGCCGCCGUGAGUGAGCGGUGCCGCCCGUAAGGUCCGACUGUCCAAACCUUCCCUUCGCCGGAACUUCCUCCUCCGGCCACCAAUCCGGGCAAGCUUGGUAUGGUUUUGUAGCCCUCCAACCCAGCAACCUUGCCCUAAAAGGACUCACUCCCUCUUGAGCUAGGUAAGGAGAAAUUUGAGGUGGAAGUUUUAUGGUGUUUUUGAUU
This 1058-nucleotide long non-coding RNA is filed under the name Fragaria vesca (wild strawberry). RNAcentral's name for it is "long non-coding RNA (FVES_LNC005014)". The record is from RNAcentral. Lineage: Eukaryota; Viridiplantae; Streptophyta; Magnoliopsida; Rosales; Rosaceae.